GUUCUUGUAGUUGAAUUACAACAAUGGUUUUUCAAGCCGUAAGUCUCAGGUUAAAGUCCUGGUGAGAAUA
Molecule: transfer RNA, 70 nt
Filed under: Spinachia spinachia (sea stickleback)
Lineage: Eukaryota; Metazoa; Chordata; Actinopteri; Perciformes; Gasterosteidae
Description: tRNA-Glu
Rfam family: tRNA
About the family: Transfer RNA (tRNA) molecules are approximately 80 nucleotides in length. Their secondary structure includes four short double-helical elements and three loops (D, anti-codon, and T loops).
Source: RNAcentral